ACCUCUCCCGAGACCGGCCAGGCCCCUACAGUACAGGGGCUGAAGGGUGUAGCACGAGCCCUAAAAGAGAUGCAGCUGGAGGCCGCCCCGCACAAGGCGCUGGGGUGGACCGGGGAGGCGCCUUACCCAGUGGAAAGACUCCCGGAUCAAGGGAGAAAGUUACGCAGGCUUCCGAUCCUGAUCCGCCAUCAGCCGCCGAACCUCUUCCGCCACUACCGCCUACCCCCAAAGACCGGCUACACCUCCCCUCCCAGCCGACAGUAGGCCUUGCGUCACUUCCGCCCACGGGGCGGUCUCUUCCGCCUCCUGCCUGGUUCGCCGCUCCCCUCCGCGACGACACGCCCCCAGCCCACUCCGCCGCGGGACGCCUCAUCCCGCGGGUACCCUUCACAGGUUUAACAGCCUCCACCCCUCGGGCACCAAGCAGUGUUAUCCAGGAAAAAAAAAAAAAAAGAGACUGAUUCUCAGUAGUAAUCUCUGUGCCUGUGAGGAACUUAAUGCAAGUCUCAGGAUCUCAAAAUAAGACCUACGAGCAUAAAGUAAUGAGUCUGUCAAGCUGGAUUUCCAUGCAUGGGGGAGGAUCUCUUUAAGUAAGGAAACUUCCUUGUGCUUCUUUAAGCACAGUUGCUAUCAUUCCGGGAGAAGCUCCUUUUAACCCAUAUCUUCUUCCAACUAGCAUCCUAUUUUUUUUCUUUCCUUCCCAGCUGAACUUCUUAAGGACCAACCUAUAUGAUGUGAUAUUUUAGAUAUUAACCUAUUUUUCUUGGUAUUCCUUGUAUAGCUUGCCACUUUCCCAACCCUCACCCAUAGGUUUGUUGCAUUGAAGAAAGGAUGUAGAAGGAAAAUCUUUCUGGCUUUU
RNAcentral lists this long non-coding RNA (859 nucleotides) under Homo sapiens (human). RNAcentral describes it as "non-protein coding lnc-HIBADH-1:1". Lineage: Eukaryota; Metazoa; Chordata; Mammalia; Primates; Hominidae. The record is from RNAcentral.